Molecule: ribosomal RNA, 274 nt
Filed under: uncultured bacterium
Lineage: Bacteria
Description: partial 16S ribosomal RNA
Rfam family: Bacterial small subunit ribosomal RNA
Source: RNAcentral
AUACGGGGGAUGCAAGCGUUAUUCGGAAUCAUUGGGCGUAAAGGGCACGCAGGCGGUUCUGUCAGUCAGAUGUGAAAGCCCGGGGCUUAACCCCGGACGUGCAUUUGAAACAGCAGGACUUGAGUAUGGUAGAGGAAAGCGGAAUUCCUGGUGUAGAGGUGAAAUUCGUAGAUAUCAGGAGGAACACCGGUGGCGAAGGCGGCUUUCUGGACCAAAACUGACGCUGAGGUGCGAAGGCGUGGGUAGCGAACAGGAUUAGAAACCCGGGUAGUCC